GACGAACGCUGGCGGCGUGCCUAAUACAUGCAAGUAGAACGCACAGUUUAUACCGUAGCUUGCUACACCAUAGACUGUGAGUUGCGAACGGGUGAGUAACGCGUAGGUAACCUGCCUGGUAGCGGGGGAUAACUAUUGGAAACGAUAGCUAAUACCGCAUAAUAUUAAUUAUUGCAUGAUAAUUAAUUGAAAGGUGCAGUUGCACCACUACCAGAUGGACCUGCGUUGUAUUAGCUAGUAGGUGAGGUAACGGCUCGCCUAGGCGACGAUACAUAGCCGACCUGAGAGGGUGAUCGGCCACACUGGGACUGAGACACGGCCCAGACUCCUACGGGAGGCAGCAGUAGGGAAUCUUCGGCAAUGGACGAAAGUCUGACCGAGCAACGCCGCGUGAGUGAAGAAGGUUUUCGGAUCGUAAAGCUCUGUUGUAAGAGAAGAACGGGUGUGAGAGUGGAAAGUUCACACUGUGACGGUAUCUUACCAGAAAGGGACGGCUAACUACGUG
This 505-nucleotide ribosomal RNA is filed under the name uncultured bacterium. RNAcentral's name for it is "partial 16S ribosomal RNA". It matches the Rfam family "Bacterial small subunit ribosomal RNA", at positions 28 to 507 of the family's 1533-position model. The record is from RNAcentral.